GAUGAACGCUGGCGGCGUGCUUAACACAUGCAAGUCGAACGAAGCAUUUCUGCGGAAGUUUUCGGAUGGAAGCAGAGAUGACUUAGUGGCGGACGGGUGAGUAACGCGUGGGCAACCUGCCUUGUACAGGGGGAUAACAGCUAGAAAUGGCUGCUAAUACCGCAUAACCCUUUGGCGCCGCAUGGCGCAGAAGGAAAAGAUUUAUCGGUACAAGAUGGGCCCGCGUCUGAUUAGCUAGUUGGUGGGGUAAUGGCCUACCAAGGCGACGAUCAGUAGCCGACUUGAGAGAGUGAUCGGCCACAUUGGGACUGAGACACGGCCCAA
RNAcentral lists this ribosomal RNA (324 nucleotides) under uncultured bacterium. Its description in RNAcentral is "bacterial SSU rRNA". It matches the Rfam family "Bacterial small subunit ribosomal RNA", at positions 28 to 334 of the family's 1533-position model. The record is from RNAcentral.